ACGGACGCUGGCGGCGUGCCUAAUACAUGCAAGUCGAGCGCGGGAAGCGGACAAUCACCCUUCGGGGUGUGCGUCCGUGGAACGAGCGGCGGAUGGGUGAGUAUCACGUGGGCAACCUGCCUGUAAGAUUGGGAUAACUCGCGGAAACGUGAGCUAAUACCGAAUGAAGUCUUUCACCGCCUGGUGAAAGGAUGAAAGAUGGCUCUUGAGCUAUCACUUACAGAUGGGCCCGCGGCGCAUUAGCUAGUUGGUGGGGUAAAGGCCUACCAAGGCGACGAUGUGUAGCCGACCUGAGAGGGUGAUCGGCCACACUGGGACUGAGACACGGCCCAGACUCCUACGGGAGGCAGCAGUAGGGAAUCUUCCGCAAUGGACGAAAGUCUGACGGAGCAACGCCGCGUGAAGUGAUGAAGGUCUUCGGAUCGUAAAACUCUGUUGUCAGGGAAGAACAAGUUGUGUUCUAACAGGACAUGACCUUGACGGUACCUGACCAGAAAGCCCCGGCUAACUACGUGCCAGCCGCGGC
This 526-nucleotide ribosomal RNA is filed under the name uncultured bacterium. RNAcentral describes it as "bacterial SSU rRNA". It matches the Rfam family "Bacterial small subunit ribosomal RNA", at positions 29 to 518 of the family's 1533-position model. The record is from RNAcentral.